This 1698-nucleotide long non-coding RNA is filed under the name Gallus gallus (chicken). RNAcentral's name for it is "lncRNA (ENSGALG00010006666.1)". Lineage: Eukaryota; Metazoa; Chordata; Aves; Galliformes; Phasianidae. The record is from RNAcentral.
ACUAAAGAAUUUUACUCCUUUUCAUAAAUGAAAGAAGACAUUGUGAUAACUCAGCUUUCACAAGAGUCUCUAUCACGUACAUACACUACAGCAUCCACAAUAGUCUUUAUAAUUCACAUAAUUUCUUUUUCCCUCUGUACAUUUGUUUAUAAACAAGGAAAUGUUUGCAGGGAGAAAUUAUAUAUAUUUUAAACUGGCUAAUAUACUUGGCACAAUAAUGAACUCUUGAGUGCACACUCACAAACAUCGUGGCAAGCAGGCAGAAACAUACUGCUGCAGAUUGUCUUUGGCCUCCAGUUAAUCAGUCCUAGGAGUAAACACCACUAAAACUUAAAUGCAACUGUCCAUUAUAUCUAUCUUACAACCUCUUAAGCAGACAAGAAAUGUAAGCUUUCAGAGAUCAUGAGUGCUCAUGCAAGCUGUAUACUACAUAUUCCUGUACUGCAGAGUACUCUUUUCUUAAAGAGGAGGGAGUUUAACACUAAAUACCAUCACUCACUUCUAAAAAUAUUCCCUAAAAGGCAGAUUCUGACUUGUGGACACCAAGUAUUCCCACUGAAACCAAUUCUACAACAACAAAAAGCCAGGUAUAAUGCAACAUGAGGCAGAACAACAUGCCUAAAUUCAUUACCCAUAAACAACACCUCCAUAUUCAUAAGGAAAGAAAAUCCAACUCUAAAACAAACUAUAAAAUGUUAUAAUACUGAAUCAACUUACAGGAGAAAUCCAAAUAAUGUCUAUGGAGAUAAAAUGUUUUAUUUCCAACUUACUCCUUUCAGAUGCACUGAAUUUAUAAUACCUUCCCACCUUGAGGGCAGAAGUGCAUGGAGAUUUAUUAGUAUCUGUUAAAGCCCACAUUUUCUCUCUCUUUUUUUUUUUUUUAUUUCCUCCAGACCUAUAGGAAAUUCAGAGGCCUGUUUACUUAAGGAACAUGUACAUUUUCUAGCAGCAUAUUCAGUUGAUUCCCCUCCCUUAGAAUGAUAAAUGCGCUGAAUGAUGGAGUUAUCUCUCACUGGUAUCAGACCACACUUAUAAGCAACAGAUGCAUUGUUCUGAGCUCCAAAAGUGGGACACUAAUAGCUUUCAGAUGAGCUUUUGUGCUGGAGAGGAGAUGGAUAAGAGUGAGAGCUGAACAUUAAUAAGAAACUAGCGUAGUGGUUUAAGAACUUGGAUCUGCUUAAAAGCCAGGAAAAAAGGUUUUCUUCACCCCAGCUGGUUCAAAAAGUCAUUCCUUACAGAUUUUUUACUUUCAGAUCAGGGAAAAAAGAAAAAAAGAAAAAAAAAAAAAAAGGAUGGUUUGUUAGGAAAUGGAGAACAUACAAGUAUUUGAGAAUGUUCUUACCUCAGGGCAGUUGAAAUUAAGAAUGUACAAUAAAUCUACGGUGGUCUGUAGAAGUUCACUCACAUCAGUGGGAAUCUUGCCAUUACCAUCAUCCAGAAUAAAAGGAUUCUCAGACAUAUCUCAGACAUCUCUAUGAGUCAUUCUGGAUAGAGCUAUCAGCUCCAGGAAAGGCUUGUAGUUACAAAGGAGGAAAAUGAAGAGAGAAGAGAUGGAUCACAAGAUAUGACAUCUUAUGCACGUGUGGAAAUCUUUAGCCAUCCUUUUUCUAGAGUGGAAAUAAUCACUGGAGACUAACAACACUCGCAUCAGCCUAACAUCCCCUUCACCCACAGAUUCUGCACUACUUCAUCCUGCUU